This 279-nucleotide ribosomal RNA is filed under the name uncultured Mollicutes bacterium. Its description in RNAcentral is "partial 16S ribosomal RNA". It matches the Rfam family "Bacterial small subunit ribosomal RNA", at positions 1105 to 1382 of the family's 1533-position model. The record is from RNAcentral. Lineage: Bacteria; Bacillati; Mycoplasmatota; Mollicutes.
UCAUUGUUAGUUACUACCAUUCAGUUGAGGACUCUAAUGAGACUGCCAACGGAUAAAGUUGGAGGAAAGGUGGGGAUGACGUCAAAUCAUCAUGCCCUUUAUGACCUGGGCUACAAACGUACUACAAUGGCCGGUACAAAGAGAUGCGAAGUGGCGACAUGGAGCGAACCUCAGAAAGCCGGUCUCAGUUCGGAUUGCAGGCUGCAAUUCGCCUGCAUGAAGUCGGAAUCGCUAGUAAUCGCAGGUCAGCAUACUGCGGUGAAUACGUUCCCGGGCCUU